GGAGGUUUGGCAGAGUGGUCGAAUGCACCGGUCUUGAAAACCGACGGGCGUGAAAGCGUCCCCAGGGUUCGAAUCCCUGAGCCUCCG
Sulfitobacter mediterraneus is the source of this 87-nucleotide non-coding RNA. NCBI's taxonomy places the organism in Bacteria, Pseudomonadati, Pseudomonadota, Alphaproteobacteria, Rhodobacterales, Roseobacteraceae. The record is from Rfam.